This 2448-nucleotide ribosomal RNA is filed under the name Triticum aestivum (bread wheat). RNAcentral describes it as "partial small subunit ribosomal RNA". Lineage: Eukaryota; Viridiplantae; Streptophyta; Magnoliopsida; Poales; Poaceae. The record is from RNAcentral.
AUGAUACUCCCUACCUUCGCGCCCUCCCGCGCCCCCAGCUCUCUCUCCCCCGCGCCGGUAGCCGCUCCGGCUCCGGCGGCCACCCACCCUCCGGCGUGCAUGGCCAGCCGGGUCCAGCUCUCGGGCUCCCCUUCCGCCAGCUCGGGCCCCUCCUCUCCCGCGGGCCGCGGCCACCCUGCCCCACCGGCAGCCCCGCCCGCCCCGCGGCUCCGCUCCCUCAUCGUCGCCCCGCCCCUGCCGCCGACGCGGGGCGUCGCCCCUCCUCCCCCGCCGCCGCGGACCUCUCCGGCUGCUCCCGCCGCGGGCGAUGAUGGAGCCCCCUGGCAGUUUGUGCGGAGCCGCAAGGAUCGCCGACCGCCGGCUUCGAACAGGCAGCCUGUCUGGCUCCUCUCGUCCAGGCCGCGGAGUCCAACCCUGCCUGCUGCGCUGCACGGAUGCUGCUACAACUGCGGCGAAGACGAUGGCCACAUCUCGCGUCACUGCACCAACCCUACGAGAUGUGUGCGCUGUGGAGGUCAGAAUCACAUCUCCAGGGGAUGCACCCGCCCCCGCAGUUCUUCUCCGGUGGAUCCUGCCCGGCCCCCGCCCGCGCUUCGCCCUCGCCAUCUGACGGCGCCGGAGGUGCCCCCCCGUCCAGGUGGUGCGUUCGGGGUCGUGCGAGAGCGUCGCCGGCCCGGGAUUCUCAACCCCCUUUGCGCCGGCGGCCGCCGCGACCCUGGUGGAGGAUCAGGUGGACGUCUGCUUCAUGAGACUGGGCCGGAUCUCCAAGCCAUGGACGCGGAGCUUGCCCGCGCCGUGGUGGUCUCCGUGGUGGGGCGACACGAGGACGCUCAUCUGGCAGCGGUGGCGGCCGUGAUUCAUGCAGAGUUUGAAGUAGGCCCUUCGGACACGUCUAUCAGGCCGUACUAUCCCGAGGAUUUCCUGAUGCUCUGUCGUUCGCCGGAGCUGCGCAACAGGAUGAUCAGGCGCCGCCGCGCCGGCUCCGGAAGCUUUGACCUGCUAUUUCGGCCCUGGUCGCGCCAGGCAAAUGGAACUGGCAUUGCGAUGCCAUUCCUGGUCCCGCUGGCACUUCGUGGUGUGCCGGCGAAUGCGUGGACGAGGCGCACCGCCGACGUGCUUCUUCAUGGGCUUGGCUUCGUCGCCAAGGUGGAUGCUUCUACGGCGGCUAGAAGUGACAUGUCAGACUUCAGGGUGUGGCUGCGAACGGAUGACCCGGCGCGUAUCCCGUCCCGGAGAAUUCUCGCCGUCAAAGAGCCGGGGCGGCGGAGUAGCCGUGCGCUGCGGGACGAGGGCGAUGUGGACGCCAUUUGGUACCCUAUCUCCAUCUCCCAGGUGGCUGCGGCGGAUCGGGAGAGACCGGAUUCCAGUCGUGGCAUGGGCUCUGGCCAUCCAGGUGGAGGUGGGCGCCCUGACGGGCACUCGGAUGGUUCUCCGGCAAGUUCAUCGGCGUCAGCUCCCACGCCGGUCCACCGGUGUGAGAUUCAAACUGGGGCCGUGACCGGUCAGCAUGAGCAGGUGGGUCCGUGCUCUAGCGUCAUGGCGGACGUGGCCGCAGACGUAGUCGAGACCAGGACGGUGGAAUCAGCAGCUGUUGACGGGCCUAUCCGGCGUCGACAAGUCGUGCAGCAUCGCAGUGCUGGGGCUUCCAUACCGGUGCAAAGCUGCGCCCGGGCCCGCCCCUCUGCCCCUUCGGUGGAGGCCUCGGGGCGCCAUGAGGAGCCAACGCGGCUUCUGGACGCUGCGGUCACAUCGCCCAACGGUUCCCCAUUGCGGUCUCAGGGAGACAAAUCUCUGUCGCUGCUCGAGAUGGGCGCCUCCCCGCGCUCCAGGACAGGCAGCCCGACAGAUGUGACCAAGGAAUCUCCAUUGGUGCGGAUUGGUGGGUGGGACCUGCGCAUCGCUGCGGCGGGACCCACAGACAGGCAACUCAGCUUUUCACAGGAGGAUCACGCGGAAACCGAGGAGGAUUGCGGAAAUGCUAGGGUUUCGCCCAGGGCGGGGCCCACCCUGCAUGGCGAUGUGAUGCCCCCAUGCACGAGAAAUGGUGACUGGUUUGUGGUCUCUCUCUCAGCGGAAAAUCGGGAAAAUGCCGCCCCUGCCUCGGCUGGACAGGACGGGACGGUUGCACAGCCACGAGCCCCUCCAAGUCCUCUUUCCCCUCGGACCCAAGUCACCAAUCUCUGCAACGACCUGCGAUGCGCGCUUUCGCCAAUGCUUUCACAGCCUGUCCGCAGAGAGGAACGGCUCAAGGACGAAGGGAAUCUUUGGGCCAAAGCUGGACUGUUCAAGGGGGACACUAGAGGAUUUGACGAGCACGGUAGUAGGCAGACGGAUCAAAUUGCCUCUCCGAAGUAUGCUAAUAUGUGUUUGCCUCCCCCUUUAAUUGUUGCGUCGCUGCGACUCGAGAGCUCCUAUCCGCAGCCCACAGGCGGCAAAUGUAUAAGCUGA